UCGGACAUCAGGAGGUUAGUGCAAUGGCAUAAGCCAGCUUGACUGCGAGCGUGACGGCGCGAGCAGGUGCGAAAGCAGGUCAUAGUGAUCCGGUGGUUCUGAAUGGAAGGGCCAUCGCUCAACGGAUAAAAGGUACUCCGGGGAUAACAGGCUGAUACCGCCCAAGAGUUCAUAUCGACGGCGGUGUUUGGCACCUCGAUGUCGGCUCAUCACAUCCUGGGGCUGAAGUAGGUCCCAAGGGUAUGGCUGUUCGCCAUUUAAAGUGGUACGCGAGCUGGGUUUAGAACGUCGUGAGACAGUUCGGUCCCUAUCUGCCGUGGGCGCUGGAGAACUGAGGGGGGCUGCUCCUAGUACGAGAGGACCGGAGUGGACGCAUCACUGGUGUUCGGGUUGUCAUGCCAAUGGCACUGCCCGGUAGCUAAAUGCGGAAGAGAUAAGUGCUGAAAGCAUCUAAGCACGAAACUUGCC
Molecule: ribosomal RNA, 468 nt
Filed under: Escherichia coli
Lineage: Bacteria; Pseudomonadati; Pseudomonadota; Gammaproteobacteria; Enterobacterales; Enterobacteriaceae
Also listed under: 1 other name
Description: partial 23S ribosomal RNA
Rfam family: Bacterial large subunit ribosomal RNA
Source: RNAcentral